RNAcentral lists this ribosomal RNA (378 nucleotides) under uncultured eukaryote. RNAcentral describes it as "SSU rRNA". It matches the Rfam family "Eukaryotic small subunit ribosomal RNA", at positions 587 to 972 of the family's 1831-position model. The record is from RNAcentral.
AGCUCUGUAAGCGUAUACCAAAGUUGUUGCAGUUAAAACGCUCGUAGUCGGAUUUUGGCGUGGUACUUCUGAGGUCCCUGAUUGGGUUCCGAGGUUAGUCCCGCCUUUGUGGAUGGAGGCGUGGUGGUGCUUAACUGUAUUGCUGCGUUUUCGCCACUGUUUACUGUGAAAAAAUUAGAGUGUUCAAAGCGAGCGAUUGCCAUGAAUACAUUAGCAUGGAAUAAUAGAAUAGGACCUGAUCCUGUUUUGUUGGUUUGUCGGUAUUAGGUAAUGAUUAAGAGGGACGGUCGGGGGCAUUUGUAUUCCAGGGUUAGAGGUGAAAUUCUUGGAUCCUUGGAAGACAAACAGCUGCGAAAGCGUCUGCCAAGGACGUUUUCA